Molecule: signal recognition particle RNA, 98 nt
Filed under: Candidatus Omnitrophota bacterium
Lineage: Bacteria; Pseudomonadati; Candidatus Omnitrophota
Description: signal recognition particle sRNA small type
Rfam family: Bacterial small signal recognition particle RNA
About the family: The signal recognition particle (SRP) is a universally conserved ribonucleoprotein involved in the co-translational targeting of proteins to membranes. Archaeal SRP consists of a 7S RNA and homologues of the eukaryotic SRP19 and SRP54 proteins. In most bacteria, the SRP consists of a 4.5S RNA and the Ffh protein (a homologue of the eukaryotic SRP54 protein).
Source: RNAcentral
GGUCAGGCCCGGCGUGACGUCGGAGCGCUAAUUCCGUCAGGACUGGAAAGUAGCAGCGGUACGCUACCUUCGGUGAGUGCGCCGUCAGCCUGACCCAC